GAUGUGAAAAAGAAUUACAAAUAUAGAAAAGCUUUAAAAUAAUCUGAAAAUUGCAAGCAAAAACGUAAAGAUAAACAAUUUGUUAGAUCAGAAUCAGAAAGUUAAUGUUCAUAGCCGGCAUAGUACUGGCUUUUCGGACUCAUCUAAAAAGCUCGAGUUUUCAAGCCAGUGAUCUUAAAGCCUUCCUGCAGUUGUUGACUAUUUUGAAAUUAUUCUGUGGUGUUGACAAACCAAGUAAGCCACCUGGCUGUUCGUGUACAUGACUGCUUUCUGUAUUCACAGUUAUGCAAUUGAACUUCACAAGCCUUCUCUAUAUCUAGUAUNUCCGCUUGAAAGGUGCUGGCUAAAAUUGUUGGUUCUUUUGAAAACUAAAAAAUGGAUUUUUUAGUUCUGUUUGUCAUUUAUCAUAUAUUAUUUGCAGUAUAUGGGUUUAAGGUGAGUA
Molecule: long non-coding RNA, 442 nt
Filed under: Bactrocera latifrons
Lineage: Eukaryota; Metazoa; Arthropoda; Insecta; Diptera; Tephritidae
Description: uncharacterized LOC108974089, transcript variant X2
Source: RNAcentral